GGGUUUUGAAGUUUCAGAAUCUCCAGAUGUGGCAGGUAGGGGCAUGAACAUCAUCAUAUAACUUUGCAUGGUAUCUUAGGUCUUACAAAAGGCCUCCAGUGUAGAAACCUAUUCCUCAUAUUCUUUGCAUGGUAUCUUAGGUCUUACAAAAGGCCUCCAGUGUAGAAACCUAUUCCUCACAUUCUUCCUGUGCUCACAUUAUCAUCACUCUUUCUCUCCAAAUCAUAUUAAAGCUAUAGAAAAGUAAAAGUAUAGGGCGUUUAUAAACAUGUGCAAUUUAUCAAGCACAAAUACUUGGGGAGU
Molecule: non-coding RNA, 303 nt
Organism: Podarcis lilfordi (Lilford's wall lizard)
Lineage: Eukaryota; Metazoa; Chordata; Lepidosauria; Squamata; Lacertidae
Source: the annotation of a GenBank genome assembly